Molecule: ribosomal RNA, 1445 nt
Filed under: uncultured organism
Description: 16S ribosomal RNA
Rfam family: Bacterial small subunit ribosomal RNA
Source: RNAcentral
GACGAACGCUGGCGGCGUGCUUAACACAUGCAAGUCGAACGGAAAGGCCCUGCUUUUGUGGGGUGCUCGAGUGGCGAACGGGUGAGUAACACGUGAGUAACCUGCCCUUGACUUUGGGAUAACUUCAGGAAACUGGGGCUAAUACCGGAUAGGAGCUCCUGCUGCAUGGUGGGGGUUGGAAAGUUUCGGCGGUUGGGGAUGGACUCGCGGCUUAUCAGCUUGUUGGUGGGGUAGUGGCUUACCAAGGCUUUGACGGGUAGCCGGCCUGAGAGGGUGACCGGCCACAUUGGGACUGAGAUACGGCCCAGACUCCUACGGGAGGCAGCAGUGGGGAAUAUUGCACAAUGGGCGGAAGCCUGAUGCAGCAACGCCGCGUGCGGGAUGACGGCCUUCGGGUUGUAAACCGCUUUCGCCUGUGACGAAGCGUGAGUGACGGUAAUGGGUAAAGAAGCACCGGCUAACUACGUGCCAGCAGCCGCGGUGAUACGUAAGGUGCGAGCGUUGUCCGGAUUUAUUGGGCGUAAAGGGCUCGUAGGUGGUUGAUCGCGUCGGAAGUGUAAUCUUGGGGCUUAACCCUGAGCGUGCUUUCGAUACGGGUUGACUUGAGGAAGGUAGGGGAGAAUGGAAUUCCUGGUGGAGCGGUGGAAUGCGCAGAUAUCAGGAGGAACACCAGUGGCGAAGGCGGUUCUCUGGGCCUUUCCUGACGCUGAGGAGCGAAAAGCGUGGGGAGCGAACAGGCUUAGAUACCCUGGUAGUCCACGCUGUAAACGGUGGGUACUAGGUGUGGGGUCCAUUCCACGGGUUCCGUGCCGUAGCUAACGCUUUAAGUACCCCGCCUGGGGAGUACGGCCGCAAGGCUAAAACUCAAAGGAAUUGACGGGGCCCCGCACAAGCGGCGGAGCAUGCGGAUUAAUUCGAUGCAACGCGUAGAACCUUACCUGGGUUUGACAUGGAUCGGGAGUGCUCAGAGAUGGGUGUGCCUCUUUUGGGGUCGGUUCACAGGUGGUGCAUGGCUGUCGUCAGCUCGUGUCGUGAGAUGUUGGGUUAAGUCCCGCAACGAGCGCAACCCUUGUUCACUGUUGCCAGCACGUUAUGGUGGGGACUCAGUGGAGACCGCCGGGGUCAACUCGGAGGAAGGUGGGGAUGACGUCAAGUCAUCAUGCCCCUUAUGUCCAGGGCUUCACGCAUGCUACAAUGGCUGGUACAGAGAGUGGCGAGCCUGUGAGGGUGAGCGAAUCUCGGAAAGCCGGUCUCAGUUCGGAUUGGGGUCUGCAACUCGACCUCAUGAAGUCGGAGUCGCUAGUAAUCGCAGAUCAGCAACGCUGCGGUGAAUACGUUCCCGGGGCUUGUACACACCGCCCGUCAAGUCAUGAAAGUUGGUAACACCCGAAGCCGGUGGCCUAACCGUUGUGGGGGAGCCGUCGAAGGUGGGACUGGUGAUUAGG